AGGGAAUCUUCGGCAAUGGGGGCAACCCUGACCGAGCAACGCCGCGUGAGUGAAGAAGGUUUUCGGAUCGUAAAGCUCUGUUGUAAGUCAAGAACGGGUGUGAGAGUGGAAAGUUCACACUGUGACGGUAGCUUACCAGAAAGGGACGGCUAACUACGUGCCAGCAGCCGCGGUAAUACGUAGGUCCCGAGCGUUGUCCGGAUUUAUUGGGCGUAAAGCGAGCGCAGGCGGUUUGAUAAGUCUGAAGUUAAAGGCUGUGGCUCAACCAUAGUUCGCUUUGGAAACUGUCAAACUUGAGUGCAGAAGGGGAGAGUGGAAUUCCAUGUGUAGCGGUGAAAUGCGUAGAUAUAUGGAGGAACACCGGUGGCGAAAGCGGCUCUCUGGUCUGUAACUGACGCUGAGGCUCGAAAGCGUGGGGAGCGAACAGGAUUAGAUACCCUGGUAGUCCACGCCGUAAACGAUGAGUGCUAGGUGUUGGAUCCUUUCCG
This 488-nucleotide ribosomal RNA is filed under the name uncultured bacterium. RNAcentral describes it as "partial 16S ribosomal RNA". It matches the Rfam family "Bacterial small subunit ribosomal RNA", at positions 356 to 836 of the family's 1533-position model. The record is from RNAcentral.